GAUUUGUCGGAGGAGGAGGAGGGAGGAGGAGGCGCGGAGAGGUCCGGAGGAGGGGUAGGUAGGUACGGGCGCGGCGAGCACCGGAGCGCCUAACCUAAGCUAACGUACAGAUCUAGACCGGGGCAAACGAAAAGACCGGCGCGCGAUCCGGCACACCUAGACGACACCUCGUCAUGCGCGAAGCAAGCUCUUAACCGACGCACACAAGGACACCUCCAAAUAGAUCUAAGUAUACCAAAGGCGCCCACGACUUUACCAGCGUACGCCCGAUACAGCAGGAAAACAAAAAGAAAUUAAGCAAAGCACGCGACGAUUACCGCCCCCCAGAGCGGCCAGGUUUAACACUCGUUUGCCGCCCCUCAAAGCGCUCAGGUUUAAUACUCAUCAUGGAGACAACAAAACAGACCCUCCUACUAAGUAAGAAAAACGGCAUCCUUCGUCGACGAUGACUCAGUAUGGAACCACCUACUGAACACAAAACGUAUCCCCAACCAAAUCAGUACACUCUACACCGCUCAAAUCCGGAACAAACCGACGUUUGUACUACUGAUAGCGUCGGUAAACGUUGUCUACUAUUACAAGUCAACAAGUGUAGUCCCCAUCUCCUCGUACACUUCCCUGGUGUCAGUGAUUAAUUGUACAAAUAUCGUCAUUUAUAUAAGACAUUAAAAUAGCUGGGGAUCUUCAGCAUUAAGACGCCUUACGCCACCGUGAAUAGGGACCUCUACACUACCAAGACACUUGUGUUGUAAGAACUAAUAGUAAACGUAUCGGUUACAAACUACUAAACCAACAAAUGUGCUCGGAUGGAUCCAUGGUAGGUAAUCCAACGAUAUAUAGUCGGGAAUAACGAGUUGUCAAAACCGAUACCGAUACCGGAAAAAUCGAACAAGGGUCCUUGUUGUACAUAAGUGUAAACAUAUAUUCUUCGAUGAAUCCCACCACAAAUAAAAAAUGUUGCAUACACGACCACAGAGACUUAAAGGGUUAGUCCCGGAACAGGAUAUUGAAAUUAGAACAAAAGACAAUACUAACAAAUCGCUUAACUUACCGGAUGAAAGUACUAAAAGGACCGAAAGAUGUCGAGGUGAGAAGAUAACUAAAGAAAGUAGUACUAUAUAAACUAUGAGGGAGGCAAGGUUUUAUAACGCUCGUAGAUAGAGCUACACCUGUUAUAUGAAGUUAAUAAAUGACAACCUGUGAAAUGAAAAGUUCUCUAGUGUCAAGGAACCCGUUUAAAUGGUAGAAGGUCUGUUAAACGAGAUGAACUUUAGAUGUAUAUUUAAACGUCAUUACUAAAAAUCUAGAGAAGACCUAUUACAUGUAUUAGUUUCACUUUAAUACGUUCUAAAAAGUCGGAAUAAGGUCGAAAGGUUAACAAGACUAAAUUGAUGUAAUCUAGACUGUACUAAAAUAAACUAGUUAACAAGGUUUAACUGUCCGAAAACCCAAGGUAGUCUAUUAGAAAGUAUCCUACCCGCUUGGUUUACCGUUACUUUUACGGUACCACGUACUUUCACUUUACCAACAACCACUACUCUACUAGGUACCGUUACUUUACCAAGUGUCACCGCUCUACUAGGUACUCGUACUAUACCAAGUUCCCUUACUCUACCAAGUACCACUGCUGUACCACCUACCCUCACCCUACCAGGUACUACUACUCUACUAGGUACCAUUACUCUACUAAGUUCAAUCACUGUACUAGGUACCAGUACUUUACCAAGUUCACUUACUGUACCAGUUACCACUACUCUACCGGGUACCAGUGCUUAACCAGUCACGACUCCACUGGGGUGGUUGGUAUAGUUCUGCGGCCUCUUUCUUCAGUAAUCAUACCCUCGUGAAAUGGUAACUUGGACAAGGACCCCUCUCCCCUACGGUUGCACGUACGACGUUGGAUACAUUCCGUUGGAAACGUAUGUCAAGACCGUGUUUUUAACGUCCAUGAUCGGUAGAGUUCUCCGUGUAGUGCGAACCGAGAACGGGAUACUAUUUUUUGGUUCUCUCCUUCGACCGCUACUCAAGUCAACCUCCUCACUGACUAUUGCUACCACUCCCAUGGCAUCUUGCAGGAAGAUUCUCCGCAAUGUCUAUAUGACCGAAACGUUUACGAUGUAAACUAGUUCUGGCAUCGUCGAGUGUAGACCGUUUCGAAUAGUAAAACGUACUGAUGGGUGAAGUACAACAAGUUGUCGGUCGGAAGUGACGAAAAUGACUCUCGGACGUCGGCGCAAAGUCCCAACGCCUACAACUUUGUUACCUCCGUCUCCACAUACCACAAAUGGUCUUUCUUUUUUUGUUGGAUUACGUUCGUAACUUGUGAUACGGACCUUCCUAAUCGGAGUGGUAUCCUAACACCUGUUGAUCAGUCUGAGAACCGAUACAAAGAUAACGACCCGUCAAGUAACUGUGCCUAACCUUUCACGUAGCUUCUUACGAAUUGAAGUACUACCACAGAAGAGGAGUAAGCCUCUUACGUGAAUCACUUCGAUAAUCGAGCUCGGAAUGGCUGACCUUGUACUUCCUGUUCGAUAAGUGGCAGUGUAACCUAUUACUAACGAGUAGUGUACUAUAGAUGUCACGUUUGGACUCUCUAGUAGAGAGGUCAUUCUUGUUGGACUACGAAUUCCCGGUAGACAAACAACACUCCACGAUACGGUUAUAGGAGUUACGUCAACGUGUACUACAGUAACGAAGUUAGGUACCACACUAGAUGUCAUAGGCACUUUCAUAUUUCAAGUAUUUUCGAAGAAGACGGGCACUCGUCUUCAAACGACUCUAACGAGACGUCGACCUCUAAGGGUCGUGAUUCUGGGACACGGAACUACAAUGUUGUGUCACCUUAUGGUGAAUGGAAUACGACGAACGACGGAACCUAAUAUCCGUCCGUAAGUGGUGUAACCUCUGUACACUACUAUUGAUGUUACUCAGCGGAAGACGUCUUCUGACCUUCUUCAACCUUCGACGGACGUUGAUAAACUUUAAAGACAUACUAAGACGUGUAUCGUAGUACCGACGCCGUUUAGGUUGAAGAUUGAAUAAAAAGGUACUCCGCACCUUUGAAGUCGACCUUGACAGUUUACGGUAUUGGGUACUUCUAGGUCAAAAGUCAUCGUAGCGGUUUCUUUACGUACUCUCCAAACUGUUCAUGACCUUCCUAACGUUGGAACAAGAUCGGUAACCACAACAGUACCUGGGAGCAAAGUUCUACUUUGAACAUCUUAAGUCAAUAAGAUUUUAGAUACCACACCUCCGUCGUUUCAUACAAUUCCACCACCUACUACGAGAAGUACUGGAAAUGUUCCUAAUACAACGUGUCGGGGACGGGGACUGCGGUCGGAUACCGCGUGGUCCCCUUCAAUUAUUUUUACCCGGACGGUUACGCUUAUUGUUGCGUCAUUGAGGUGGAAGAUGACCCCUACCUGAGGAACUGAAACUGUACAUAGAAAGUCUCUAUCGUUAUUCGGUCGGGAGGUUCAGACUCGACCUCGUCAUGGACCUUCUUCGGGACUGCGGAGCGUAGGUUCUGAAACUUUAGCACCUGACCACCUUCGAGUUGUGGGACUUCAAAGGUUGUGACCGCUUCUACCGGGCACUAUAGAACCGGUAGGGGUACAGGUACCACUCGUCGCCGACGAGGUAUAAACGUCGCCGUUGCUGUCCUUCGGCCUACGAACUACUGAUAUCUUCGAGUGACGCGGGACUUUAGCACCUCCGUGAAAAGACGAGGUUUCUGACCGAAGUCAUACGAGGCGGCGGAGGAGGUCUUCGCGUCCCAAGACAUCGCCACUUCUACCUCACUAACCAGGGAAUCAGGAAUCAACCAUCGGAAGUGUUCUUCCGACGAACCAACCACAACUCGAAUCAAACACGGAUCGCGAGAGCUAGUAUCUUACAAUGACUACUACAAGCUCGAUAGGUAAUCUACAUUACUCAUGAGAACUAAUAAGAACAGCUUAAGUCUAAGACUCGGGCACUGUAUGAACGUCCCACCACUCCAACAGCGGUCACUACGUGACAAACGUACAACAAGGCGGGCACACUAGCACCGGACAACCGACCGAGCAACAGUAGCAGACGACAACCGAACUAACACACGCAAAGGAAGACAG
RNAcentral lists this ribosomal RNA (4115 nucleotides) under Triticum aestivum (bread wheat). RNAcentral describes it as "partial small subunit ribosomal RNA". Lineage: Eukaryota; Viridiplantae; Streptophyta; Magnoliopsida; Poales; Poaceae. The record is from RNAcentral.